This 624-nucleotide ribosomal RNA is filed under the name uncultured bacterium. RNAcentral describes it as "bacterial SSU rRNA". It matches the Rfam family "Bacterial small subunit ribosomal RNA", at positions 338 to 955 of the family's 1533-position model. The record is from RNAcentral.
CCUACGGGAGGCAGCAGUGGGGAAUUUUGGACAAUGGGCGCAAGCCUGAUCCAGCAAUGCCGCGUGAGUGAAGAAGGCCUUCGGGUUGUAAAGCUCUUUUGUCAGGGAAGAAACGGUGGAGGCUAAUAUCCUUUGCUAAUGACGGUACCUGAAGAAUAAGCACCGGCUAACUACGUGCCAGCAGCCGCGGUAAUACGUAGGGUGCAAGCGUUAAUCGGAAUUACUGGGCGUAAAGCGUGCGCAGGCGGUUUUGUAAGUUUGUCGUGAAAUCCCCGGGCUCAACCUGGGAAUGGCGAUGAAGACUGCAAGGCUAGAAUCUGGCAGAGGGGGGUAGAAUUCCACGUGUAGCAGUGAAAUGCGUAGAGAUGUGGAGGAACACCGAUGGCGAAGGCAGCCCCCUGGGUCAAGAUUGACGCUCAUGCACGAAAGCGUGGGGANCAAACAGGAUUAGAUACCCUGGUAGUCCACGCCCUAAACGAUGUCUACUAGUUGUCGGGUUUUAAUAACUUGGUAACGCAGCUAACGCGUGAAGUAGACCGCCUGGGGAGUACGGUCGCAAGAUUAAAACUUCAAAGUAGUUAGUUCGGACGNGNGAGAGCGACGACGACGACGACGGAGGAGGAG